RNAcentral lists this ribosomal RNA (491 nucleotides) under uncultured bacterium. RNAcentral describes it as "partial 16S ribosomal RNA". It matches the Rfam family "Bacterial small subunit ribosomal RNA", at positions 29 to 506 of the family's 1533-position model. The record is from RNAcentral.
AGUGAACGCUGGCGGUAGGCCUAACACAUGCAAGUCGAACGGCAGCACAGUAAGAGCUUGCUCUUACGGGUGGCGAGUGGCGGACGGGUGAGGAAUACAUCGGAAUCUACUUUUUCGUGGGGGAUAACGUAGGGAAACUUACGCUAAUACCGCAUACGACCUACGGGUGAAAGCAGGGGAUCUUCGGACCUUGCGCGAUUGAAUGAGCCGAUGUCGGAUUAGCUAGUUGGCGGGGUAAAGGCCCACCAAGGCGACGAUCCGUAGCUGGUCUGAGAGGAUGAUCAGCCACACUGGAACUGAGACACGGUCCAGACUCCUACGGGAGGCAGCAGUGGGGAAUAUUGGACAAUGGGCGCAAGCAUGAUCCAGCCAUACCGCGUGGGUGAAGAAGGCCUUCGGGUUGUAAAGCCCUUUUGUUGGGAAAGAAAAGCAGCAGGUUAAUACCCCGCUGUUCUGACGGUACCCAAAGAAUAAGCACCGGCUAACUUCGU